This 274-nucleotide ribosomal RNA is filed under the name uncultured bacterium. Its description in RNAcentral is "partial 16S ribosomal RNA". It matches the Rfam family "Bacterial small subunit ribosomal RNA", at positions 523 to 796 of the family's 1533-position model. The record is from RNAcentral.
AUACGGAGGGAGCGAGCGUUAAUCGGAAUUACUGGGCGUAAAGCGCGCGUAGGCGGCUUUGUAAGUCGGAUGUGAAAGCCCUGGGCUUAACCUGGGAAUGGCAUUCGAUACUGCAGAGCUAGAGUAUGGUAGAGGGAAGUGGAAUUUCCGGUGUAGCGGUGAAAUGCGUAGAUAUCGGAAGGAACACCAGUGGCGAAGGCGACUUGCUGGACUAAUACUGACGCUGAGGAGCGAAAGCGUGGGGAGCAAACGGGAUUAGAUACCCCAGUAGUCC